GCCUUCGUGAUGUAGUGGUCAGCACGCUCGACGCGUAACCGAGAGGUCCGUGGUUCGAUUCCUGGGGAAGGCG
This 73-nucleotide transfer RNA is filed under the name Stegodyphus mimosarum. It matches the Rfam family "tRNA". From Rfam's summary of the family: Transfer RNA (tRNA) molecules are approximately 80 nucleotides in length. The record is from Rfam by way of RNAcentral. Lineage: Eukaryota; Metazoa; Arthropoda; Arachnida; Araneae; Eresidae.